Long non-coding RNA from Acinonyx jubatus (cheetah), 2667 nucleotides. RefSeq lists it as uncharacterized. The transcript is spliced from 4 exons. The record is from RefSeq and is a predicted model, not a curated record. Lineage: Eukaryota; Metazoa; Chordata; Mammalia; Carnivora; Felidae.
GUGCUCUGAGGGACGUGGAAGGAUUCCACUGAGCCUCCUCACAGCGGAGGGGAGGAGGGCCCCGUGGGCCGCGCUCAGGCCCUCUUCACAGGCAGCCCUUCUGACCCCAUCGGUGGCACCUACUGGGCGUCCAGAUUGGAUCUUUGUUUGAACCAGAAACUCAGCCAGAGCACAUUCAAAAUCCACCAAUCACAAGCAAUUCUUUUCUUGGCGACGUAAAACAGGGGAGGCUCCGAGGCUGCAAACAGGACAUCCUCCCAAGCUGAGGCUCUUAACGGCCGAUCGAUGGUGGCCUCCCCUCACCACCCCGCCCCCUCCCUCACUGAUCGGGGUGACCGCAAAAAUUCCCCUCGGUUCAGGAAUCUGAACUCGGAGGACCCUUCCUCGGUAAAGAUGAAAAGGGACAACCGUUUUCCAGAAGGUGAUAAGAAACUAGCGGUGUGAAUCCCAUGCCUCGCCCUGGAUCCAAAGGUAUGUGUGCAAGUCAAUUCGGGCCUCUGUGGCCUCCAAGGGCGCUGACUGGCCCAGCCUUGGAGGUUUCCAAACAGCAGGAAAACAUGUUCAGCUGUGCAACGAUUUGCCACGCAAUCAUCUGCCAAGGCAAGCCCAGCGGUCCACCCCAGUUGUGUUUGUUCAGGACAAAUAUUUACCUGUUUUACAUUUAUGGAGUAAUCCUAAUGCCUUCGCAGUCUGGAGGGUAUUUUUGCAGAGCUGAAUGAGUCUCUAUUCUGGAGCCAUAGGAUCACGUAGUUGAAAAAGCCCUGAAAAUAUCAUGUUAAUCCCGCUUAACGGGGAGAGGGGGUCUCCUUCGGGGAGGGGAUUCAAGGUGUCGGAAACUAGACAGAGACUGCCUCCGAAUUGUGCACUUGAAGAUGGGUUGGGUUUUUUAAUUUUUAAUGUUUAUUCAUUUUAGAGACAGACAGACAGACAGACAGAGUGAGUGAACAAGGGAGGGAUGGAGAGAGAGGGAGACACCGAAUCCGAAGCAGGCUCCAGGCCCCGAGCUGUCAGCGCAGAGCCCGACGCGGGGCUCGAACUCACGAACCGCGAGAUCAUGACCUGAGCCGAAGUCGGACGCUUAACCGACUGGGCCACCCAGGCGCCCCGUAAGACGGCCUGGCAACGUCCGAAGACCGUAAUCUUGGACUGAAUGUGCACUCGCCCAGCAGAGACAGCAAAUUAUACCCUCAGGGAAUCUUCCCUCAGGAGGGCCACGGUUUUGUGGGCAUAUUCUUUCCACGGUGAAGAAAUAAAAGUGAAUCUAGGGGUAAACCACUUUGCCCGGUGCACGUUCACAAAGCCUGAUCUUUGCCGCGAAGAUGGGCACGUAAGGCUUGUUAAGUGAAUGUUAAUAAGCAGGUGCUCGGACCUUCUUAGAAGGCUGGUUAUCUCCCGUUUCAGUCAUUAGUGGCCCAUGGGAAUAGUGGCUCCAUAAAACCUUGUGUAUUUUCUUUCGAGAUUUCUCUGUCAGGCUUAUGGCGAGGCCUACGAGGGGUGCUCGCCACCCAGAAAUGAUGCACGUGGGGGACUUCGGCAUCACAGGCCACGUCCGUCCCGGGAAUGGCCUCGCCCUUCAGAGAGCAGUGUCACCUCCGCAGGAUGCCGGCUGCUUAUGCGGAGGCUGUGGCACGAGGAGAUGGCAGGAGACUUGCCAUCAACGUCGGGACAACGUCAGAGUCUAGAACCGCUCUCACUCCGUGCCCAGCGUUGCUCUACUCUGGGCAGCGUGAGACAGCGACACCACUUUGAGCCAUUUGGAUCGGGCGGCCUGUGGCUUGCGGCCAAAUACGUCCUCAGGGAGACAAGGCUCACGUGCCCAGGCGACCCAGAACCCAGACUCAGGAGACCUGAGUUCAUUCUAGUCCCAGCUCCCCCGGAAAUUUCACCCGAUGUCACUCUCUUCGCCUGCACAGUGUGGAGGUGGGUAAGAUACAUACCAAGGCCAUUUCCAUCCAUAAAGUCCCGCUGGGGUAUCUCCGUCCACAUUCACUGGCACGGAGCCUGAGGUCCGUGGUGGCUUUGGUUUUGCCUUCUCUCCCUCUCUCCUCCUUUGGAAAACUGGCCACACCGUGCCGGCUGAGUCUCUCUUCUUGUUGGAAGCCGGGGCGGUCUUUGUUUCCGUGAGGCAUGGACGUCUCCACGUGGGAAGUCGAAGCCACAGGCCAGCGAGAAAAUGGAUCCGCUUUGCGGCGCAGUUAACUCUAUGGGAAACAACGAUAAUUGCUCUGGAACCGAACACCAGCCUCCCCUUGCGCUCACUGAUAACGAUGCAAAUUCUCCCGCUUGCCUAUAAUGUGGCUCAGAACAAAAAUGCCUUUUCUGGUCCGUGCUGGGAAUAAUUCCUGAAACUCAGUGAAAAUCCCAGGCACCCUUUGUGUUAAAACGAGUUUUCGCAGCUUCCACUUGCAGAGAGAGCCAGAUUACAUAAUUGCAUUCAGGAGGCCACCACUAGAAAGUAGCUCAUGUGCACGAUCAACGCUAAAUUCUUUGGGGAGGGGGGGAAAGAAAUACACCUUCUUGGACUUUCUUUGUUGUACUCUUCACAAUCGAGCGCAAUGGCCAUCAGGGGUCUUCUUCUGAGCUGUCACAUUGCUUAAAUGAGUGCAUGUCGGACAUUUCCAGAGGGGCGAGCUCGGUAGGCACUGAAAAGGGAACGGUCUCCUCGAG